Oryzias javanicus (javanese ricefish) is the source of this 1578-nucleotide long non-coding RNA. The record is from Ensembl. NCBI's taxonomy places the organism in Eukaryota, Metazoa, Chordata, Actinopteri, Beloniformes, Adrianichthyidae.
UCAUUUUUUUGUAUGUUCAAGAUUUUGUCUUCCAGUCGAUAUUUACUGUGAAUGUUUUGAACAUAAUAUUAAUCAUUUUACUUUUUAUUUUCUUGAAGUAUUCACCCUGAUCCUGGUGGGGCUUCAAUGGAGUUUUGGAGUUCCUGCCCCCGUCCGGACCGAUUUUCAUCGAAUGAUGAGCAUAGCAGGAAUACUACAACACGAAGUGGAGGGAUUACUAAAUAAAUCGAUGGACAAUAGCAUUAUUUUCAGAAACAUGCCCAAGUAUCCUGAAAAGACGCCUUCUUCGUCUAUAACUGGCAAAAGUUUCCCCCAAAACCUGGAGGACAUGGUCCUCAAAGGCCACCUUUUCUACUUCCACGUGGCAGAGAUGAGCAGACACCUGAAGAACCUCACCAGGCGCCCGGCCGUCGUCUCGACCAUUUUCACCACCGUCAAAGCGACGCUUCAGCGGCUUUUGCAAACCGUGAAGAAGAAUUUUGAGUCGGUUCAUCCAGAAAUGGGCCCGCUGACCACGCCGGCUCCUCCAGAAUUCCCCGAGCGGAGCUUCUUUGAACAAAAAAGCCACGGAACGGUGGUGCUGCUCAGACUCGGCGAGUGGGUGAAGAACGUGCAGCGAGUGCUGAGGCAGCAUCACGUGGCGCCCGCUCACGGGUCACAAUGAGGCGACUCACUGACAGAGAGAGAGAGGGAAAAAAAAAAAAAAGAUUUCAGCAGCGUUCAGCUAUGAGUUUACUUCACUGCAUCUUUUAUUUAACCCUUUCACACCAGAGCCUCCAGUGAUGAUGAUCUUUGAUUUACUGUAACUCUUCAACCGUUAACAGAUUUUGAAAGAAAAAAAACAGAUUCAAUUUUCUGUUUAGGCGUCACCAUAUAAAAAGUUUAAGCUUAUAAUUGUGUUUUUACUUGAUUUUUAUGACCGUUGUUGUUAGCUAUUUUUAUUUAUGUAUUUAUUUGAUCUUUUAUGGAUGACUUUCCAUUAAUAGUCUAAGUGUUUGGACCGUGAGUCCUUAAUAAAUUAUUCUAUUGUAUCUGUAUCACUUUAACUGUUAAAAUGUCAACAAAUGUGUAUUUAAAAAAAAAGUAAAUUAAGAUUAUUUAUAUUUUUCACCUGCAGAUGAUUGUUUUGUUAUUUAUUCUUAAAAAUGGGAGUUUGCAACAAAAAUAAAGUUUUCCCUUUAACGAAUGAAUUUUCUUGUUUUUUUUCCUGUGUCAUGAUGUCUUCACCAAGUUAUCCAUAAUUUUGAGUCUGCGAACAUAAAAGUAAUGCUUUUAUUUUGUUAAGUCUUGAUAAUUUAUAUAUUUUAUGUUUAAUACUUGUUUUUGCUGUUUUAAAAUAAAAUCUCAGAUGAAUUCAGGUCAUCUUUUAUGGAGUGAUUUUGAUCACUCGGAUUUAAAACAAUUUCUAAAUUGCAAACAAAAUAUGAAAUGUUAGGAAUAAAGCUUCAUAAUUUGCAAAUUAAAAUAUUUAAUAUUUGCAAAAAUCUUAUUUUUGCUUAAAAAAAUAUUUUUGUAUUUGAAAACUGUUUUUUUACUUUCGAAAAAUAUUUUUGUGUUUGCAAACUUCUUUUGCUGUCU